UUUUUUUUUUUUACUUUCUAGGGAGAACUGCAUAAAUUACAGCUUUAUUUUCCUCUUCUUGAGAAUUAUUUUUCACCCACCUGAAACUCCCACGAUGUAUGGAAUGCACAAGAAAGAUCGGAAGGAGCCACAAUAUUAAGUGACUGCAGUUCAUCUGCUCUGGUAGAAGCAAGGCCUG
This 178-nucleotide long non-coding RNA is filed under the name Cyanistes caeruleus (blue tit). RNAcentral describes it as "lncRNA (ENSCCEG00000002949.1)". The record is from RNAcentral. Lineage: Eukaryota; Metazoa; Chordata; Aves; Passeriformes; Paridae.